GCCUGAUCCAGCCAUGCCGCGUGCAGGAAGACGGCCCUACGGGUUGUAAACUGCUUUUAUACGGGAAGAAUAAUUGCCUUGCGGGGUGAGAUGACGGUACUGUAUGAAUAAGCAUCGGCUAACUCCGUGCCAGCAGCCGCGGUAAUACGGAGGAUGCGAGCGUUAUCCGGAAUCAUUGGGUUUAAAGGGUCCGUAGGCGGUUGUGUAAGUCAGUGGUGAAAUCUUUCAGCUCAACUGAAAAAUGGCCAUUGAAACUGCAUAACUUGAGUUAUUGUGAAGUAAGUAGAAUGUGUAGUGUAGCGGUGAAAUGCUUAGAGAUUACACAGAAUACCGAUUGCGAAGGCAGCUUACUAACGAUACACUGACGCUGAGGGACGAAAGCGUGGGGAGCGAACAGGAUUAGAUACCCUGGUAGUCCACGCCGUAAACGAUGGAUACUAGCUGUUCGUGUCGCGCGAGCGAUGUGAGUGGCUAAGCGAAAGUGAUAAGUAUCCCACCUGGGGAGUACGGCCGCAAGGCUG
RNAcentral lists this ribosomal RNA (521 nucleotides) under uncultured bacterium. Its description in RNAcentral is "bacterial SSU rRNA". It matches the Rfam family "Bacterial small subunit ribosomal RNA", at positions 381 to 896 of the family's 1533-position model. The record is from RNAcentral.